RNAcentral lists this ribosomal RNA (417 nucleotides) under uncultured bacterium. RNAcentral's name for it is "bacterial SSU rRNA". It matches the Rfam family "Bacterial small subunit ribosomal RNA", at positions 505 to 918 of the family's 1533-position model. The record is from RNAcentral.
GUGCCAGCAGCCGCGGUAAUACGGAGGAUCCAAGCGUUAUCCGGAAUCAUUGGGUUUAAAGGGUCCGCAGGCUGUUUUUUAAGUCAGAGGUGAAAUCCUACAGCUCAACUGUAGAACUGCCUUUGAUACUGGAAAACUUGAGUUAUUGUGAAGUGGUUAGAAUGUGUGGUGUAGCGGUGAAAUGCAUAGAUAUCACACAGAAUACCGAUUGCGAAGGCAGAUCACUAACAAUAUACUGACGCUCAUGGACGAAAGCGUGGGGAGCGAACAGGAUUAGAUACCCUGGUAGUCCACGCCGUAAACGAUGGAUACUAGCUGUUCGUCUAACAUUGGUUAGAUGAGUGGCUAAGCGAAAGUGAUAAGUAUCCCACCUGGGGAGUACGGUCGCAAGACUGAAACUUAAAUGAAUUGACGGGG